UACGGAGGGUGCAAACGUUGCUCGGAAUUAUUGGGCGUAAAGCGCACGUAGGCGGACCAGCAAGUCGGAUGUGAAAUCCCUCGGCUUAACCGAGGACGUGCAUCGGAAACUGCUGGCCUUGAGUACGAAAGAGGAUCGCGGAAUUCCCGGUGUAGAGGUGAAAUUCGUAGAUAUCGGGAGGAACACCAGUGGCGAAGGCGGCCAUCUGGGUCGAUACUGACGCUGAGGUGCGAAAGCGUGGGGAGCAAACAGG
RNAcentral lists this ribosomal RNA (253 nucleotides) under uncultured bacterium. Its description in RNAcentral is "partial 16S ribosomal RNA". It matches the Rfam family "Bacterial small subunit ribosomal RNA", at positions 524 to 776 of the family's 1533-position model. The record is from RNAcentral.